Molecule: ribosomal RNA, 396 nt
Filed under: uncultured bacterium
Lineage: Bacteria
Description: bacterial SSU rRNA
Rfam family: Bacterial small subunit ribosomal RNA
Source: RNAcentral
GACGAACGCUGGCGGCGUGCCUAACACAUGCAAGUCGAACGGGGUAGUUCCUUCGGGGACUACUUAGUGGCGAACGGGUGAGUAACGCGUGAGAAACCUGCCUUUCAGUGGGGGACAACAGUUGGAAACGACUGCUAAUACCGCAUAAUGUUAUUUGAGGGCAUCCUCGAAUAACCAAAGCUUAAUGUGCUGAAAGAUGGUCUCGCGUCUGAUUAGCUAGUUGGUGAGGUAACGGCUCACCAAGGCGACGAUCAGUAGCCGGUCUGAGAGGAUGAACGGCCACAUUGGGACUGAGAUACGGCCCAGACUCCUACGGGAGGCAGCAGUGGGGAAUAUUGGGCAAUGGGGGAAACCCGUAGACCCAACGCAAACGCCGCCGUGAAGGAAGAAGGCCUG